AUGAGCUCCCAAAAGGCCUCGUGCUAGAUGGAUGCGGGUGUGCACAUAUAAGGCACAUCACCUCCUCUCCGUUGGUUGAUAUGAGAUCUUACAAUCCACCCCCCUUAAGGGCCCGACGUCCCCGUCGGCACACUCGCACCACACGGCAGAGUAGCUCUGAUACCAAAUUGUCACAUCCCGGGAUCAGCUCCGUUGUAGCACGAUAUUGUCC
Molecule: long non-coding RNA, 211 nt
Filed under: Prunus persica (peach)
Lineage: Eukaryota; Viridiplantae; Streptophyta; Magnoliopsida; Rosales; Rosaceae
Description: long non-coding RNA (PPER_LNC001118)
Source: RNAcentral